Molecule: long non-coding RNA, 34889 nt
Filed under: Xyrichtys novacula (pearly razorfish)
Lineage: Eukaryota; Metazoa; Chordata; Actinopteri; Labriformes; Labridae
Source: RNAcentral
AAACAAACAAGUUCCUGUUUUAGUGAACUUUGAAUUUGGACUCAGGAGAGGAAGAUGGUUGUCAAGAAUACUGAACUUAAAAGAUGAUGAAUAACGGUCAGUAAAUGAGGAGAAGAAUCUGUGAUCUGGUGGUUUAGGUUUCAGUGAAAACAGUCAGAGUGAAAGUGAAAGUAUGUGAGCUGAAAAACAGACUCCAUUUUGAGAAAAGAAGAGAGAGGAGAGGACGAGGAGACAGGGUGAGUGUUUACUCUGUUUUAGUUUUAAUGUCAAACUCUUUAUCUGUUUUAUCUGUUAAUGAAAAAAUGAUUUACUGACUAAAACACUUAAAAACUGUAAAACAAAGAAACCUGAGCAGACAAAGAGCUGGAUCAGUUCUUCAUACAGGAAACUGUGUAACUGCAGUUCUUCCUCCUCUUUGUUUAGACUUGUCUUUUUGGUAAAAAUAUGAAUCAGAAUCUUUUUAGCGUCUCAUUUCAAAUUUAAUCCAGUCUCCUUAAGUUUUUUUCUGAGAGUUCAGGGACCUCACAGCUGAUUUUGUUUUGACCAUGAAUCAGACAAGGAUCAGAGAGAGGCCCUGCAGGGUGGGGAGACAUCAGAAGUUCUUGGAUAUUAAACCUGUAUAACUCUUAAAGAGGGGGAUGAAGCUGUUUUUAGACUCUGUACUUCCUUUCUGAUUCCUCUUUUAUUUCUGAACUCUCUCUUCCUGUUUGUGUCUCACCUGUUUGUCUUCUUUGUCCUCAGGUUGUAUAACUCGGUUUCAGCCUCCAUAAAUUUGCACAACAGAAGAUGGAGAAGAUGAGUGUUGGUGUCGAGGAAGAGGAGGGCAGAGCAGAGUCUGAUAUGUUUGACUGUCUGUCUAUGAAGAGUGACCGGUCUAAAGGUUUUGAUAUAAACUUCAGUAAAGAACCAGGACCCCCAGAGCAGGACAGAACAAAGUCUGUUAUCUCCAGCUGUCUGUCUAUGAAGAGUGACCGGUCUAAAGAUCCUCCACCAAAAUUCAGUGAAGAACCAGGACCCUCAGAUUCACAGUAAGAGAAACACUUUUCAAUCACCAAACUCUCAAACAACCUCUGACGUUUCAAAUACAAAACUUUAAAUCCUGACCCCUCUGUUUUCUCCUCUGUUCUCAAAACACUGAUUUUCCUCUUGAACCUGCCAACCUGGAUAAAAUUCAAUUCAAUCCAACUUUAUUUAUAAAGCCCAUUUCAUGCAAAAGGCAGACUCAAUGUUCUUCACAACAGGUGUACAUAGUUAAAAACAGUUAUACAAAAAUCUAUUAGAAAUCAAUUUAAGAGUGUAAGUGCAAGUCAACCAACUUCACCGCGAAUGCUACAGAAAUCUGUUUUUAAAGAUGGCUACUGAUGUGUCUAACUGUGUCAGGCAGGGUGUUCCAUUUUUGUGGGGCAUAAACACUCAAAGCUGCCUCCCCUUAUUUGGAUCUGGUGUGAGGGAUGAGUAAGUUGCCACUGCCUGUUGACCGAAGUGUUCUUGCUGGGGUGUAGGUGAUGAGCAUAUCUGUGAUGUACUGAGGUGCAAGGCCAUGUAGUGCUUUGUAAACCAGGAGGAGUAUUUUGAAAUCGAUUCUUGUCCUAACGGGUAACCAAUGUACAGAUUUGAGAACGGGUGUGAUGUGUUGAUAUUUUUUGGUACCAGUGAGAAUUCAUGCAGCUGCAUUUUGAAUUAACUGUAACCUCUGAAGACUUGAUUUUGGGAGUCCAGUGAAUAAACUGUUACAGUAAUCCAGUUUACUUCUUAUAAAUGCAUGGAUGAAUUUUUCUAAGUCUGAUUUUGACAGAAAGCCCCUCAGUUUGGAGAUAUUUUUGAGAUGAUAGAAAGAUGAUCUUGUAAUGGAUAAAAGGCUGGUAAAGAAAAACUCACUGAGCACAGAUUUACUUAUUAUUCUUGAUGUUGAUAAAAAUGAAGGUCGUAUAAAACAGCAUUUGAAAAGGAUUCUGACUUCUUGUAUUUUCUGAUUUGGUUCCUGUGUUUGGGACGUUUUGAGCCUGUUAGUCUUUGGACUGUGGUGUAUAGACCCCAGAAAACAGUCUGUGGGUCACAAAAUACCAGAAGACCAAUGAAGAAAUAAAUCCUGAAAAAUAAAAACAUAAUUCAGAGCAUCUGUCUGUUAUUAGACCUUUAGAUCUGAUUGGUCAAAAAAAAAGUUUUAAACUGUCAGAGAAAAUCUCUCUACCUUCAAAAAUCACAGUUUAGUUUUUUCUCUUGUCACGACACUUUCAGGCAGCAGCAGCUGAAUAUUUUACAGGAGAUUGUUUUAUGUUAGAGAAAAGAGAAACUCUGGUUUAAUAAAUGUUUCUUAUUCUGUAUCUUUCAAACAUGAAAUAAUAAAGAAAAUAAAUGUUCUUUAUUUCCACAGAGAGACACAGAGAUGUGACUCUGUGGAGGAGCAGCUGUCCAAAUGUUCUUUAUGUCAGGAUGUCCUGAAGGAUCCAGUCUCUACCCGCUGUGGACACAGGUUCUGCAGACAGUGCCUCGCCUCAUUCAGGGACCAGUCUACUUCUUCAGGACACACCUCCUGUCCUCAGUGUGGAAAAAGAACCAGAACAGUUCUUGUUCUUCAGACAGACAGCCAGUCCAGCUCUGAUCGAAGUAAGUCUGAACACCUUUAAACCCUAAAUUAUACAAUUUCUGCCUGAAUUAUUUUGCUUAUUUUAGCCAUAAAAUUGGCAGAAAAUGUCCUAUGAGUGAGUGCUUUUUUAUUCAUUGGCUUUCAACCCUGCAUGAGACUCGGCUCCUGUUUUAGUGUUUUAUGUUUUUUUUUUUUUUUUUAUGUCUAUGCUUUUUUGUCUAUUUAUAUACAGCACUUUGGUUGGCUGUGGUUGUUUUAAAGUGCUUUACAAAUAAAGUUGAGUUUUACCCAUUUUUCCAGAGCACUUAAAACUUUCAAUAUCUGGCUGUCAUUUACGAUUUACUGUCUGUUAAAAGAGUGCUUUAACAUUGUAAGAUAAAGAAAAACACAAAAACGGAAUACAAUUUUUUUUGAGUUUUAAUGAGAAAAAAACAGAAAAUAUUCAUGAAAAACAGAUUGUUCAUUUGAAAUAAAAAAAUUAAAGAGUAUCAAACAUAUUUACAGCAAAAACUUUGGAGUGCUGUCUCUCCAAGUGCAAAAACAGGCUAACUAAAUACAACUGUGUCCAGGCGUUUCUCCUCUCUCACUCAGAGGUCUUUGUGAAACUGUCAGAAGCUGUUCCUUUCUGUCUGCAGACACAGACCCACAUCACACCCCUCACACUUCCAGACAGUUCUCCUUAUGACAAAGUUUGCAGCGUCGUCUCCUCAUGCUAGUUCUUUUAGACUUCAUCUGCCCAUGGCUUGUUUGGGCACGUAGCUAUACUCUACUAUAAACGGUGAGCAUUUCUGCCAAGUGGAUGUAAUUCUCGGGGGGCAUGUGUUUCUCGGCAACACAUCAACGGCUGCAAAUGAGAAACCAACAAGAGAAAACCGCCGAAGAUGAAAACUUUUUAGUAAAAAGAAAAGCAACGUCACUUACCAUUGAAGACGAAUACUCGUUGAUUAAAAGAAAAGCAACGUCACUUACCAUUGAAGAUGAAUAUUCGUUGAUUAAAAGAAAAGCCACGUCACUUAUCUGUAAUUAUUUCGGUAACAAAAAGGAUGACGUCACCUAACACCUGUUCUGUGUCGGCAGUGUCUUUCAUCUGUUUCCACAAUAACGUCCCAGCAGAACAAUAAAAACUAAAAAUAUCUCUAAGACAGACAGAAGCCAUUCUACUAACAUUCACUAAAAGAGGGAAGAUCAGUGCAGGUUAACAGAGAGCCCUUCAUUCAUCCAGAAACCCACUCAGAAAAUCAACCAGUCAAACUUUACCUUUCUCUGUCUGAAGUUUCUCUGAAAGCUUCUCCAUCGGUCCCAAAGUCGUCUGUAAACCUCAGUGGAGGUUUUCUCACUCAGGAAGGAUUUAUCACAGACAUUUUCCUCUGAAAUAAUCACUUUUUUUUUGGUAAUUUUUCUCUCUUUUUGCUCCGUUUCUCUGCUCUGUUGUUUGUCUAUCUACUGCUUUCUUUGUGAGGGGGAGAGGGGACGGAGAGACAGAUUUCCUCUCUAAACAGCAGGAGUGAAAUUACCGUAAUAACCGUUUAUUGGCCGUGUGGCGCAACUUCUCACUUUUCAGAAACCGUUGGAGAUUUUUUUUUGAUAGAACAAACUAUCCCAAAGUUACGGUAAUUUAAAGAGCGCCUGUAUAAAGGUGUCGGCGCCGACGGACUGUGAGGAAAAGUCUGUGUGGAUGAAAACUCAGCUGACUGAUUUUCACAAAGACGUUUCAGUGUUGAGAAGUUUGGUUCAUUUUAUUUUUCUUCUCUUUCAGAAGAUGGCCUCCCGCAGGAGGUUUUAGAUGAACAUAAGAUAAGUCUGAAGAGGAGAUGUGAACGUGUGAAUGAAGGAAGUGAUGUAACAGGAAGUAGUCAAACCCUCCUCAACAGGAUCUUCACUGAGCUCUACAUCACAGAGGGACUGAGUGAAGAGGUGAACACCCAACAUGAGGUGAGACAGCUGGAGACUACUUCAAAGAUGAAGACCCUCCAUGACACGCCCAUCAGGUGUCAUGAGAUCUUUAAAACCUUACCUGACCAACAGAAGAAGCUCAUCAGAGUGGUUCUGACCAACGGCGUGGCUGGUGUUGGAAAAACCUUCUCAGUGCAGAAGUUCACUCUGGACUGGGCAGAGGGUUUGGAGAACCAAGACCUCCAUCUGGUGGUCCUGCUUUCAUUCAGGGAGCUGAACCUGAUCAGAGAUGAGCGCUUCAGUCUUCUGAGUCUGCUCCAUGUUUUCCAUCCAACCCUAGAGAAGGUCACAGCAGAGACGCUGGCUGUCUGUAAACUUCUGUUCAUCUUUGACGGUCUGGAUGAAAGCAGACUGUCUCUGGAUUUCACAGACUCUGAGGUGGUGUCUGACGUCACACAGAAGUCUUCACUGAACGUUCUGAUAACAAACCUCAUCAAGGGGAACCUGCUCCCCUCAGCUCUCAUCUGGAUAACUUCUCGACCUGCAGCAGCCAAUCAGAUCCCUCCUUCACAUGUGGACAGGGUAACAGAAGUACGAGGCUUCACUGACGACCAGAAGGACGAGUACUUCAAGAAGAGGUUCAGAGAUGAAGAUCUGUCCAGAAGAAUCAUCUCACACAUCAAGUCCUCCAGGAGCCUCCACAUCAUGUGUCAGAUCCCGGUCUUCUGCUGGAUCACUGCGACAGUUCUGGAGGACAUGAUGAGCAGAGAGCAGAGAGGAGAGCUGCCCAAGACCCUGACUGACAUGUACUCACACUUCCUGCUGGUCCAGACUCAGAGGAAGAAGCAGAAGUAUGAAGGAGGACAUGAGACAAGUCCUCAGGCACUGAUGGAUGCUGACAGUGACGUCCUCCUGAAGCUGGGGAGGCUGGCCUUUGAACAUCUGAAGAAAGGAAACAUCAUGUUCUACCAAGAAGACCUGGAGCGGUGUGGUCUGGAUGUCUCAGAGGCCUCGGUCUACUCAGGAGUUUGUACAGAGAUCUUCAGAAGAGAGAGUGUGAUCUUCCAGAAAACUGUUUACUGUUUUGUUCAUCUGAGCGUUCAGGAGUUUCUGUCUGCAGUCUACAUGAUCCACAGUUUCACAAACAGGAACACAGAAGCUCUGAAGACUUUCCUAAGAAGCAACGAUGAUGAAGAUAAAAUGUCUUCUUCAGAGAUGGUUGACAGAUUUUUUCAAAACCUGGAUUAUUUUUUCUCAUCUCAGGAUGUCUUCCUGAAGAGUGUCGUGGAGAACUCCCUUCUCAGUAAAAACGGUCACCUGGACCUGUUUGUUCGCUUCCUUCAUGGACUCUCUGUGGAGUCAAACCAGAGACUCUUAGGAGGUCUGCUGGGUCACACAGACAACAGUCCAGAAAUGAUCCAAACAGUCAUCAAGAACCUGAAGGAGAUGAACAGAGAAGAUAUCUCUCCUGACAGAAGCAUCAACAUCUUCCACUGUCUGAUGGAGAUGAACGAUCUGUCGGUUCAUCAGGAGAUUCAAGAGUUCCUGAAGACAAAGAACAUAUCAGAGAAGAAACUCUCAGAGAUCCAAUGCUCUGCUCUGGCCUACAUGCUGCAGAUGUCAGAGGAGGUUCUGGAUGAGUUAGACUUACAGAAGUAUAAAACAUCAGACCAGGGACGACUGAGACUGAUCCCAGCUGUGAGGAACUGCAGAAAGGCUGAGUAAGUCCAGGUUUUAUUCUCAGAAUAGUGUAAAUGAUCCCUGUAGUUCUUCUAAUGUCCACGUUACUGAUGAUGUUCUUCUUCAAAUAGAAAUCCACUCAAAUAUCAGGGAGGGGGUUUCUUCAGCAAAAACAUGAUCCUGGUGUCUAAAGUCCUGUUAGUCCAGGAUGAGGUCUACCUGUGGACCCCUGAGAACUUGUCCUAAUUGUGGAGGACCUCUUUGUUUUGAAUCGUGUCUGUAAUGAAUAAAGUGGAACUUUGAGGACAAAUCAGCGACCAUAUCUGAGGACACACAGAGGUCUUCUGAUGAUGGUAUCAGUCCAGAUCAGGUGAACUUGAGUUUUAAGAAGGUGUCUGCAGCUUCUUCCUGCUGGUUUUCAGGUUGGAAAUGAUGAAUCAGUUGUAAAUGAGGGUGUUGACAGCAUUGAUGGUGAAAAUAGAACUGGAUCAUUUUCUACACAGUGGCAGAACUGUCUAACCUUCAAAGAAAUGUUUUUAUCUGAACCAAACAGAGAAAAAGGAGCUGCUGUGAUUUAGUGAGUCGUCUUCUGAUUGGUCAACAGUCAGUGCCUUACAUUAUAGCAGGAUGUCAACACUAAACACUGAGAGGAGCAUGAGUCAUGGAGUCAUUUGUCUUGAACGUCUGAACAGUUUUUUUUUUCUUCUAAACUUGGACUUCCUGUCUUCUCUCAUGGCUGUGGUCCUGAUAUUAGUAUCUGUCUGGUUAAAAACAGGCCGUCUGUCAAACCAAAGAUCAUGUUUGAGUUGUUUUUGGGGAAGAGAAACAUCAAAUAACCCUUUAAUAAAAUAUUGUUUGAUAUUCAUUUUGUCACAGAUUUAAUAACUGUGGACUCUCAGAGACUCACUGUGAAGUUGUGGCCUCAGCUCUGAAGUCCAACCCCUCCCAUCUGAGACAUCUGAACCUGAGAAACAACAGACUGCAGGAUUCAGGAGUGAAGCUUCUCUCUGCAGGACUGGAGAGUCCAAACUGCAGACUGGAGACUCUGAGGUGAGACACCAUUUCCUUCCGAUCUAACAAUAAGAUGUGACAGCUGCUGCCUUAGAUUUUUCUCUGUGGUUUUUCCAUCAACUUUGGUCGAGCAGUUUGAAUUUGUCGUUGUAAAACUUCAACACAGGAAGAAAAAUCCGACAUUUCAGAGUCGACUUUGAGUAGAACGAUGGAUGUAGAAAGGAAGCAGGAGAAAAUCAGUCCCACAAAUAUUAUACAUGCUUGUAGAGGGCAGGAGCAGCACAGACUAAAGGCUGAUAUUGAACUGAUCCACAGUUAAUGUGAUCACUAAUGAAUGAAUGAAGUGUCAGAGAAAUGAUGAGCUGCAGAUUGAAACCUGAAGAACAAAGUUAAUCCAACUCUGGAUAUUUCAUUUGGAAACUCUUGAAAACUUGAAUUUCUUCUUUGCUCAGUCGUGUUCAAAUGUAAAAACCAGAUCCAGAUUUUUCUGCAGUUUUCACUUCAGUUUGUUGAACAUGAACAUCAUCUUGUCCAGCUGGUCCAUAAAAACCUCUCUGAUCAAUGAUCUGUUGGUUUAUUUAAGAGUAGUUUGUCAGUUGUUGACAGCAGACGGACAGACCCCUGAAUAAACUCCUGACUGUUUUCAUCUUCAUGAAGAAUUCAGGACUACAAAAGAACCUUUGAGAUUUCUCACAGGAGUUUCUCAGGAUCUCACUAAAGUUUUCUGUUUCUGUAAAAUUUUCUCGACUGAUAAAUUCCUCUGGAUCUUCAAAAAGUUUAGAGAGGAUUUUACAAAGUUCCUGAAGAUCAACUCUGAAAAAGUUCUUCUUCCGUGUCCUUCAGGGUUCAAGAACAUUGAAUCAUUAAAAACAGGAACAGUUUCUUCAGAGGUUACAUGAUUUUUUUCUUUUUUCAGACUGUGACAGGUGUUUAUUAGUCUUUUUGACUCAUUACAAUAAUGAGGAUAAAGUCAUGGACUAAACUUGGGCUCCCAGUUUCCUUGUUGUUGUUUCUUCAGCUAGCAUCAUUGUUUUCAUCUCAGUUAUUAAAGUAAUAAUGAUGCUUCAUAAAUUCAGAGUCACAAAAAAACACCAAACAAACCAAAUCUGAAAAAAAUUCACUUUUUCAUCAAAUGAGUUUAAUCGGUCAGAACAUGAGGUUUGAGUUUUCAUGAGGAGGAAACGAGAAAGAUCUGCUCUGACAGUUAGAAACACAGACACCUGAAUUUACACUGACAGACAGAGAGACACAGACAGAGACACAGACAGACACAGACAGAGACACACAAACACAGACUAACAGAGAUGUUCCUCUUCGUCUCUUUGCUGUGAUGACUGAAGUCACAAAAACAAAGUUUUCUUCGUCACUUUUAUGAUUGAACCAAAGAAGUUAAAGAACCAAACUCUCAGAUUUUGUUCUUCUCAAUUUUAUUUGAACCAUUUAGAUUUUUCUCCUGAUCAAUAUUCAAUGAUCAGAUUGAUCAGGUUCCUGUUUUGGCUCCACUGCCUCUUUUCUGCAGCUCAAUAACUGCUCAUAUGGUUUGAAAGGUUCCUGCAGUAAAACCCGAUUAGAGAGUGGACUAAAUGAAAUGUGAGUGAACUCAGCCAUCAGUGAAUCAAUGACAAAGUGAGAGGAAGAGUGGAUCUGUCUGCUGUCUGACCUUGUUGAUCCUGAUGAAGGUGAGGGAGAAGAGUAAAGCAGUAAAGGUGAUGUUGUUGCAGACAGAGUCAGCUGACCUGUCUCAUCAGAGUCUCAUCCAUUCUCUGUUUGGCAGAGCACUGAUGUUAGAGUCUGAGAGCACAUUCAGGUUCAGCUUCACAUGGGCUGGAUCUGCUCAAUACAAACUCUUGAGACCAGCCUGGUUGAGGGAGGUGGGCUCAGUGUCCUGGGUGACUCUCUCUGAGCUCUUCUUGGUUGAGAGUAUUUCUGGUUUGUCUCUGACUUCCAUGAACUCAGAUCUGGAGGAUUGCUGGCUGGUCCGGUCCAGUUCUGACAGUAGAGACAACACAGUCUGUUAUUCUGGGUUGAGUGUUCUUGUUGAAGAUCAGUGUACAGUGAGGGAUGAAGGCAGACAAAGAUCCUCCUGUUUCCUCCAUGUCACAGUUCAAGUUCAUUUUGAAGACUUUGAUUGAUCCGAGCGCUGAAGAGGAACAGGAAACGAGGAGUAGAGAGUGAGGGAGGACUUACAGCAAAGGAUCAUGGGAGUCCAACCAGCAACUGCUGCAACAAGGACUCCACCUUCUGAUCACAUGAACCUCUAAUCCAAACCAGUGCUCCAUCACAUUUGAUGUCUUGUCUGUUAUUUUACAUGGAGGGUCAGAGCAGACCAGAUCAUGAGCUCUGACAGACUGGAUCUGGUCCAAAGGUCUCCUGUUGGAGUUCUCUAAGCUCCAUAUUUUAAACCUGAACACCUGAAGUUUGAUUAUUAAUUAUUUUUAUCUUCAUUCUCUUUCCUUUUUUCAGAUUGUAUAAAUGCAGUUUGUCAGAGAUCAGCUGUUCUUCUCUGGCCUCAGCUCUGAAGUCCAACCCCUCCCAUCUGAGAUAUCUGGACCUGAGUCACAACAAGCUGCAGGAUUCAGGAGUGAAGCUUCUCUCUGCAGGACUGGAGAGUCCAAACUGUAAACUGGAGACUCUGAGGUGAGACACCAUUUCCUUCUGAUCUAACAAUAAGAUGUGACAGCUGCUGCCUUAGAUUUUUCUCUGUGGUUUUUCCAUCAACUUUGGUCGAGCAGUUUGAAUUUGUCGUUGUAAAACUUCAACACAGGAAGAAAAAUCCGACAUUUCAGAGUCGACUUUGAGUAGAACGAUGGAUGUAGAAAGGAAGCAGGAGAAAAUCAGUCCCACAAAUAUUACACAUGCUUGUAGAGGGCAGGAGCAGCACAGACUAAAGGCUGAUACUGAACUGAUCCACAGUUAAUGUGAUCACUAAUGAAUGAAGUGUCAGAGAAAUGAUGAGCUGCAGAUUGAAACCUGAAGAACAAAGUUAAUCCAACUCUGGAUAUUUCAUUUGGAAACUCUUGAAAACUUGAAUUUCUUCUUUGCUCAGUCGUGUUCAAAUGUAAAAACCAGAUCCAGAUUUGUCUGCAGUUUUCACUUCAGUUUGUUGAACAUGAACAUCAUCUUGUCCAGCUGGUCCAUAAAAACCUCUCUGAUCAAUGAUCUGUUGGUUUAUUUAAGAGUAGUUUGGCAGUUGUUGACAGCAGACGGACAGACCCCUGAAUAAACUCCUGACUAUUUUCAUCUUCAUGAAGAAUUCAGGACUACAAAAGAACCUUUGAGAUUUCUCACAGGAGUUUCUCAGGAUCUCACUAAAGUUUUCUGUUUCUGUAAAAUUUUCUCGACUGAUAAAUUCCUCUGGAUCUUCAAAAAGUUUAGAGAGGAUUUUACAAAGUUCCUGAAGAUCAACUCUGAAAAAGUUCUUCUUCCGUGUCCUUCAGGGUUCAAGAACAUUGAAUCAUUAAAAACAGGAACAGUUUCUUCAGAGGUUACAUGAUUUUUUUCUUUUUUCAGACUGUGACAGGUGUUUAUUAGUCUUUUUGACUCAUUACAAUAAUGAGGAUAAAGUCAUGGACUAAACUUGGGCUCCCAGUUUCCUUGUUGUUGUUUCUUCAGCUAGCAUCAUUGUUUUCAUCUCAGUUAUUAAAGUAAUAAUGAUGCUUCAUAAAUUCAGAGUCACAAAAAAACACCAAACAAACCAAAUCUGAAAAAAAUUCACUUCUUCAUCAAAUGAGUUUAAUCGGUCAGAACAUGAGGUUUGAGUUUUCAUGAGGAGGAAACGAGAAAGAUCUGCUCUGACAGUGAGAAACACAGACGCCUGAAUCUACACUGACAGACAGACAAACACAGACAGAGAGACAGACACACAAACACAGACACACAGAGAUUUUCCUCUUUGUCUCUUUGCUGUGAUGACUGAAGUCACAAAAACAAAGUUUUCUUCGUCACUUUUAUGAUUGAACCAAAGAAGUUAAAGAACCAAACUCUCAGAUUUUGUUCUUCUCAAUUUUAUUUGAACCAUUUAGAUUUUUCUCCUGAUCAAUAUUCAAUGAUCAGAUUGAUCAGGUUCCUGUUUUGGCUCCACUGCCUCUUUUCUGCAGCUCAAUAACUGCUCAUAUGGUUUGAAAGGUUCCUGCAGUAAAACCCGAUUAGAGAGUGGACUAAAUGAAAUGUGAGUGAACUCAGCCAUCAGUGAAUCAAUGACAAAGUGAGAGGAAGAGUGGAUCUGUCUGCUGUCUGACCUUGUUGAUCCUGAUGAAGGUGAGGGAGAAGAGUAAAGCAGUAAAGGUGAUGUUGUUGCAGACAGAGUCAGCUGACCUGUCUCAUCAGAGUCUCAUCCAUUCUCUGUUUAGCAGAGCGCUGAUGUUACAGUCUGAGAGCACAUUCAGGUUCAGCUUCACAUGGGCUGGAUCUGCUCAAUACAAACUCUUGAGACCAGCCUGGUUGAGGGAGGUGGGCUCAGUGUCCUGGGUGACUCUCUCUGAGCUCUUCUUGGUUGAGAGUCUUUCUGGUUUGUCUCUGACUUCCAUGAACUCAGAUCUGGAGGAUUGCUGGCUGGUCCGGUCCAGUUCUGACAGUAGAGACAACACAGUCAGUUAUUCUGGGUUGAGUGUUCUUGUUGAAGAUCAGUGUACAGUGAGGGAUGAAGGCAGACAAAGAUCCUCCUGUUUCCUCCAUGUCACAGUUCAAGUUCAUUUUGAAGACUUUGAUUGAUCCGAGCGCUGAAGAGGAACAGGAAACGAGGAGUAGAGAGUGAGGGAGGACUUACAGCAAAGGAUCAUGGGAGUCCAACCAGAAACUGCUGCAACAAGGACUCCACCUUCUGAUCACCUGAACCUCUAAUCCAAACCAGUGCUCCAUCACAUUUGAUGUCUUGUCUGUUAUUUUACAUGGAGGGUCAGAGCAGACCAGAUCAUGAGCUCUGACAGACUGGAUCUGGUCCAAAGGUCUCCUGUUGGAGUUCUCGAAGCUCCAUAUUUUAAUCCUGAACACCUGAAGUUUGAUUAUUAAUUAUUUUUAUCUUCAUUCUCUUUCCUUUUUUCAGAUUGUAUAAAUGCAGUUUGUCAGAGAUCAGCUGUUCUUCUCUGGCCUCAGCUCUGAAGUCCAACCCCUCCCAUCUGAGACAUCUGAACCUGAGAAACAACACUCUGCAGGAUUCAGGAGUGAAGCUUCUCUCUGCAGGACUGCAGAGACCAAACUGCAGACUGGAGACUCUGAAGUGAGACACCAUUUCCUUCUGAUCUAACAAUAAGAUGUGACAGCUGCUGCCUUAGAUUUUUCUCUGUGGUUUUUCCAUCAACUUUGGUCGAGCAGUUUGAAUUUGUCGUUGUAAAACUUCAACACAGGAAGAAAAAUCCGACAUUUCAGAGUUGACUUUGAGGAGAACGAUGGAUGUAGAAAGGAAGCAGGAGAAAAUCAGUCCCACAAAUAUUACACAUGCUUGUAGAGGGCAGGAGCAGCACAGACUAAAGGCUGAUAUUGAACUGAUCCACAGUUAAUGUGAUCACUAAUGAAUGAAGUGUCAGAGAAAUGAUGAGCUGCAGAUUGAAACCUGAAGAACAAAGUUAAUCCAACUCUGGAUAUUUCAUUUGGAAACUCUUGAAAACUUGAAUUUCUUCUUUGCUCAGUCGUGUUCAAAUGUAAAAACCAGAUCCAGAUUUGUCUGCAGUUUUCACUUCAGUUUGUUGAACAUUAACAUCAUCUUGUCCAGUUGGUCCAUAAAAACCUCUCUGAUCAAUGAUCUGUUGGUUUAUUUAAGAGUAGUUUGGCAGUUGUUGACAGCAGACGGACAGACCCCUGAAUAAACUCCUGACUGUUUUCAUCUUCAUGAAGAAUUCAGGACUACAAAAGAACCUUUGAGAUUUCUCACAGGAGUUUCUCAGGAUCUCACUAAAGUUUUCUGUUUCUUUAAAAUUUUCUCGACUGAUAAAUUCCUCUGGAUCUUCAAAAAGUUUAGAGAGGAUUUUACAAAGUUCCUGAAGAUCAACUCUGAAAAAGUUCUUCUUCCGUGUCCUUCAGGGUUCAAGAACAUUGAAUCAUUAAAAACAGGAACAGUUUCUUCAGAGGUUACAUGAUUUUUUUCUUUUUUCAGACUGUGACAGGUGUUUAUUAGUCUUUUUGACUCAUUACAAUAAUGAGGAUAAAGUCAUGGACUAAACUUGGGCUCCCAGUUUCCUUGUUGUUGUUUCUUCAGCUAGCAUCAUUGUUUUCAUCUCAGUUAUUAAAGUAAUAAUGAUGCUUCAUAAAUUCAGAGUCACAAAAAAACACCAAACAAACCAAAUCUGAAAAAAAUUCACUUUUUCAUCAAAUGAGUUGAAUCGGUCAGAACAUGAGGUUUGAGUUUUCAUGAGGAGGAAACGAGAAAGAUCUGCUCUGACAGUUAGAAACACAGACGCCUGAAUCUACACUGACAGACAGACAAACACAGACAGAGAGACAGACACACAAACACAGACACACAGAGAUUUUCCUCUUUGUCUCUUUGCUGUGAUGACUGAAGUCACAAAAACAAAGUUGUAUUCGUCACUUUUAUGAUUGAACCAAAUAAGUUAAAGAACCAAACUCAUAGAUUUUCUUCUUCUCAAUAUUAUUUGAACCAUUUUGAUUUUUCUUCUGAUCAAUAUUCAAUGAUCAGAUUGAUCAGGUUCCUGUUUUGGCUCCACUGCCUCUUUUCUGCAGCUCAAUAACUGCUCAUAUGGUUUGAAAGGUUCCUGCAGUAAAACCCGAUUAGAGAGUGGACUAAAUGAAAUGUGAGUGAACUCAGCCAUCAGUGAAUCAAUGACAAAGUGAGAGUAAGAGUGGAUCUGUCUGCUGUCUGACCUUGUUGAGCCUGAUGAAGGUGAGGGAGAAGAGUAAAGCAGUAAAGGUGAUGUUGUUGCAGACAGAGUCAGCUGACCUGUCUCAUCAGAGUCUCAUCCAUUCUCUGUUUGGCAGAGCACUGAUGUUAGAGUCUGAGAGCACAUUCAGGUUCAGCUUCACAUGGGCUGGAUCUGCUCAAUACAAACUCUUGAGACCAGCCUGGUUGAGGGAGGUGGGCUCAGUGUCCUGGGUGACUCUCUCUGAGCUCUUCUUGGUUGAGAGUCUUUCUGGUUUGUCUCUGACUUCCAUGAACUCAGAUCUGGAGGAUUGCUGGCUGGUCCGGUCCAGUUCUGACAGUAGAGACAACACAGUCAGUUAUUCUGGGUUGAGUGUUCUUGUUGAAGAUCAGUGUACAGUGAGGGAUGAAGGCAGACAAAGAUCCUCCUGUUUCCUCCAUGUCACACUUCAAGUUCAUUUUGAAGACUUUGAUUGAUCCGAGCGCUGAAGAGGAACAGGAAACGUGGAGUAGAGAGUGAGGGAGGACUUACAGCAAAGGAUCAUGGGAGUCCAACCAGCAACUGCUGCAACAAGGACUCCACCUUCUGAACACCUGAACCUCUAAUCCAAACCAGUGCUCCAUCACAUUUGAUGUCUUGUCUGUUAUUUUACAUGGAGGGUCAGAGCAGACCAGAUAAUGAGCUCUGACAGACUGGAUCUGGUCCAAAGGUCUCCUGUUGGAGUUCUCUAAGCUCCAUAUUUUAAACCUGAACACGUGAAGUUUGAUUAUUAAUUAUUUUUAUCUUCAUUCUCUUUCCUUUUUUCAGACUGAGGAGCUGCAGUUUGUCAGAGAUCAGCUGUUCUUCUCUGGCCUCAGCUCUGAAGUCCAACCCCGACCAUCUGAAACAUCUGGACCUGAGCAGAAACAAUCUGCAGGAUUCAGGAGUGAAGCUGCUGUGUGACUCUCUGCAGAGUCCAAACUGUAAACUGGAGACUCUAGAGUGAGACUUUUUUCCUCCAUUCAAACAUGAUCAUGAUUUGUUUGUGAUGAUGACACUAAACUGCUGACUCAGGACUGAAACACUGACCCAGACUGAACACCUUCAGUCCAGAGUAGAUUUUCUGCUUCAGUGGAUUAUUUGAUUGACUCCAGUUAGAUCACUGCUGAGCUCCAGUGAAUUAAAACCUGAACCCAAGAAGAAAACUCUUUGUAGAGUUCACAGUGAGAAGCACAUUCAGACAGAAAACAGAAGCAGGGGGAGAUUUGUCAGACGAGAACCAUUCAAACUUUAGUUCAGGACAAGAAAUGGAAAAAACUCAGAGUUUAGUUUCUGACUCUGAUGAAAGUCCAGCUCUGUUACUUUGAAUUUUGUUUUUGAAUCUUUGUGUGAAAAUCUGAAUUUUCUGGUUUAUCUGCACUUUUCUGAAGCCUUGCUGUGUUUAGACUGAAAUAUUUACCUCUCAAAGACGUGAUAUUUUUGGUUCAGCAAAGUGAAAAUAUUCUGAACAUCCUUUGUUUCCCAUCCGUCCUGAAGUCGCUGACAUUUUCUGAAAAUAUUGAGCUGCAUCUACAAUCAGUAAAAAAGUCUCUGAGUUUUUUAUUUCACUAUUUAAUGUGUUUUUGAAUUCAGUGUUUCAAACUGACUUCCUGUUUGGUUCAGCUCUUUGGAGCGUCACUUUUCUUUGAUUCAUACUUUCCAAACCUUUCCCCUGAACUCUACAGAUUUAAGACAUCAGGUUUCAAACUGGAUCAUUUUUCUCUAAAAUCUCAUUAUUUCCUCUUUAUUUAGGUUGUGGCGCUGCAGUUUGACGAAGAUCAGCUGUUCUUCUCUGGCCUCAGCUCUGAAGUCCAACCCCUCCCAUCUGAAAACUCUGUGGCUGUAUGGAAACAAUCUGCAGGGUUCAGACGUGGAGCUGCUGUGUGAUCUUCAGAAGAGUCCAGACUACAGACUGGAGGAUCUGGAGUCAGUAUAGAGUUGGAGUUAGUCUGUGCUGAUCUCUCCUGUUCCUCUCCACACAGUAUCACAGCAGAUAUUCAGUAUUUCCUGCUGACUCUUCGACCCUCUCAGAGGAUUAUCUCUUUAGUGAAGCUGUGAGAACAGAAAUCAUCAAACCAGGAGUGUAAGAGUGUCAGUGAUGAAAAAAGUGUCUCCUCGUCUCUAUAUUUCAGAUCAAAUGUAGAAAUGAGACAUAAUGAAACAGAAAUGUUCAGUUUCUGCUCUGAAGUCCAGUUUAUAGUUCUCUGUAUUCAACACAGACUUUAUUUCUCUGCUAACUUGUUGAUUUUGAGCUCUAAGUCUGAAAACAGACAGCUGUUCUUUAUACUUGUUAUUUUCACAGCAGGUUUGUUCGAUCAGCUUUAACACAUUUGACAGGAAUGAUUUCUUUAUUUUGAUGAUGUUGGUUUAUUUGUGAGGAAACCUGCUGCUUUACACCAUCACUUCUGGUCUGAGCAGGACUGAGACCUGCUGGUCUGUAAACUGGAUGUUCUUCAGUCCAGCUGAUGAAGUGAGUCUCAGAGUGGAAACACUGAACGUCUUUUUUUCUCUCCUCAGAUGGAGUUAACAUCUGUCAGAGUGAAUAAGAAGAGGAUCGUGUGUUUCCUGACGAUCAGAGAGGUGGAGGCAGCAGCAGUGAGGGUGAGGUGAGUCUCUGACUGAGAGACUGACUGACCAAUCACAGCGGGCGGAGAGGACUCUGGGAGCUGCACUUUGACCUGCUCUGAGAUCAGCUCAGGACCUGGACUCUGGAUAUUUGAUAUUUUCCCUCAUACUCUGGGAUCAAACAGUCUGAACAGGUUUGUUUUGUUGAUGGAAACAUGAUCAUAAAUUUACACUUUGAUUGGAUUACUUUGUUUUCACCAUGAUGCAGCGCCACCCAGUGGAAAUAUAAAGAGGUGGAGUUGAUUUAUUCCCUCAUAUUUCUGCAGCAGGAGUUGAUACCAUGUGUGAGAGUAGAUCAGUCAGAAGUUCAGAUUAAACCCAAAGGUUUUUUCUUUCCUUUGCACCGUUAGAGACCGAAUAUAAACUGAAGGGAGAGGAAGAGAAGUGAGGAGAGAUGGAGGUGAAGGGAGGAGGAGGAGGACAGGGUUUGGGGUUUUAACAAAAAUCUGAAGCUUUAUUCUUUCACUUGAUUAUUUUUAUUCAUCCGUUUUCUUCUUCAUUUUCUGAACUGAUUGUAAAUAUUGACUGGAGGUAAAUUGACCUUAUUUUAUAUUAUUAGACAUUAUUUUCCGUCUCUUUACAUGUUUUUGUUCUCAUAUCAUCUUUGUGCUCAUCAAUAAUCGAUUCCCUCCAGUUUGAACAAAUACAAUUAUUAAACCAUAAAUGAGACCUGAGAGUAAAAUUAAAAUGUGUGAAAUAUAAUCAGUCAAAGGAAAGAUUCUUAAACAAAAACAAAAUCAUUAUUUUUACUUUAUUAUGAUGGAGAAGUUUUCCUCUGACAGACAAAAAUAACCAUAUUGACCGGAGUCUGGAAAAAGUGAGAUCAGCAUCUAUUCAGGGUGAAGUCAUUAAUGUGGUCGAUGCUGUUUUAUAAACUCAGUGUUGUUGAUUACAAUCUCAGCUUCAUAAACUGAUGCUACAGUGGAGUGACUUCCUGUAAAAUCCACUGGCUUUGUGAGACCGUCAGCUUUCAGGAGAUCAGUUUGUGUUUCUGUGACACUCCAAAGCUUUUCUAUCCCACAGAAAAGAUCGGUGUGUUUUCAGAGACCUUCCUGAUCCCAUCCCUCCAAAAUAAAAAUAAUCUGAUGGUUUAUGGAUUCAUUUCAGUAACAAAGUGUCAUUUCUGUUGUUAGCCAAUCAGAGGCUGUAUCUGCCAUCAGCUGACCUGUAAAGGUCCAAUCAGAAGUCAGGACAGCUCAUGCCACAGUCUGAUCACACUACAGACACAUAAAACAUAGAACUAUUGUAAACAGAUUUGUCCUCUUCAGUUUAUCUACUAUCAAUAGAUCUGUGCUCUGUCUGUGUAACACUCUGUUGGUUCUUCAUUUACACCAGAUCAUUUUUUAUUUCAUUUCACUGUAACAAUGCCAUUUAAAGAUAAUAAAAACUUUAUUUGAACCAAAACAUGUUAAAAACGUCAACUCGGCUCGUUUCAUUCACUGUGUGCAAUUGAUUAUUAUUAUUUUUCAUUCAAACAGAAACUAGAUUUGGUCUUUAAAAAGUCCUCAAAGUGAGUCUGAAAAGUAGAGGAAGGUUUUAUCAUCAGGGUGCAGCACAGUUGUUUCCUGUGUUUUCAUUUGUGAUAUUCUCUCUAAGGUGUGUUAUUGUUCAUUUAAAGUAUGUGGAGGACAAAUCCACACAUCUAACAAAGAAGGUAAAAUAUAAAGAUAGGAGAUUUCUGCAUGACAUCAACGAUAUCCUGGAUUUAGUUUUCUAAGCAACAGGUGGUCGUCUUUUAUCGGGGGUACUUUGAUCCAGAAAUCUGAAAAGGGGUUACUAAAGCAAAAGAAGAAAAACCAGAGACUGUAUAUAGAAUGGACAGAGUCUGCCUCCUCGCUGGGUGAAGCCACUCUGAGAACAGCACCCUCUGUUGAUGGGCUGCAGUAUAGGUCAUAAAUCCCGCCUGCGCCAGCAAAGCUUAUGGAGCUGUGGACGAACUUUAGAAAUUUAUUACACAGAACAUAAUUUUUUCUCCCUCCUGGUUGUGAUGUUGACAUGUAGUUAUUGUCAGACUGGUUUGUGCUCAAGUCCUCUUUUUUCUGUGAAGCUCCAUUUUUAAAAGUUAUUAGGGGGUUCAUGUUUGCUAUGACGUUUCACAGCCAUAAGGAAUAACCAAUCGGAGCCUAGCACUUCUAGCCAAUCAGAUGCGAAGGAGGGUGGGACCUUCCCCUACCAUCCCACGAAAAAAAAAACCAAACACGUCCGGGUUUGCCGACCUUUAUUUCUGAGCCCCAGAUAACAGGACAGAGAUACCUAAAGCAUACAACGUGAACUUGUGUUAUCACAUCAACAUAUUUGGCUCCUACACUGAAUAUAAUGUUGGACAGUGAUCUUUGUAAAGUGAGGUGAAGGAGGAGUUUGUGUAGUGACAACACAAUCACACUGUGUGCAAAAAUAAAAACCUGUUCAACCAAAUCUUCACAUUUAGUUGGGGUAUGAGAAGAGGAGUGCUCAUCUGAAGUUUGUUGGUUUGACCAGCAGGUGGAGCUGCUGCAUUAACAAUAAACUGAGACUCAACCAAACAAACAAGUUCCUGUUUUAGUGAACUUUGAAUUUGGACUCAGGAGAGGAAGAUGGUUGUCAAGAAUACUGAACUUAAAGGAUGAUCAAUAACGGUCAGUAAAUGAGGAGAAGAAUCUGUGAUCUGGUGGUUUAGGUUUCAGUGAAAACAGUCAGAGUGAAAGUGAAAGUAUGUGAGCUGAAAAACAGACUCCAUUUUGAGAAAAGAAGAGAGAGGAGAGGACGAGGAGACAGGGUGAGUGUUUACUCUGUUUUAGUUUUAAUGUCAAACUCUUUAUCUGUUUUAUCUGUUAAUGAAAAAAUGAUUUACUGACUAAAACACUUAAAAACUGUAAAACAAAGAAACCUGAGCAGACAAAGAGCUGGAUCAGUUCUUCAUACAGGAAACUGUGUACGUGCAGUUCUUCCUCCUCUUUGUUUAGACUUGUCUUUUUGGUAAAAAUAUUAAUCAGAAUCUUUUUAGCGUCUCAUUUCAACUUUAAUCCAGUCUCCUUAAGUUUUUAUGAGAGUUCAGGGACCUCACAGCUGAUUUUGUUUUGACCAUGAAUCAGACAAGGAUCAGAGAGAGGCCCUGCAGGGUGGGGAGACAUCAGAAGUUCUUGGAUAUUAAACCUGUAUAACUCUUAAAGAGGGGGAUGAAGCUGUUUUUAGACUCUGUACUUCCUUUCUGAUUCCUCUUUUAUUUCUGAACUCUCUCUUCCUGUUUGUAUCUCACCUGUUUGUCUUCUUUGUCCUCAGGUUGUAUAACUCGGUUUCAGCCUCCAUAAAUUUGCACAACAGAAGAUGGAGAAGAUGAGUGUUGGUGUCGAGGAAGAGGAGGGCAGAGCAGAGUCUGAUAUGUUUGACUGUCUGUCUAUGAAGAGUGACCAGUCUAAAGGUUUUGAUAUAAACUUCAGUAAAGAACCAGGACCCCCAGAGGAGGACAGAACAAAGUCUGUUAUCUCCAGCUGUCUGUCUAUGAAGAGUGACCGGUCUAAAGAUCCUCCACCAAAAUUCAGUGAAGAACCAGGACCCUCAGAUUCACAGUAAGAGAAACACUUUUCAAUCACCAAACUCUCAAACAACAACAAUUGACGUUUCAAAUACAAAACUUUAAAUCCUGACCCCUCUGUUUUCUCCUCUGUUCUCAAAACACUGAUUUUCCUCUUAAACCUGCCAACCUGGAUAAAAUUCAAUUCAAUUCAACUUUAUUUAUAAAGCCCAUUUCAUGUACAAGGCAGACUCAAUGUUCUUCACAACAGGUGUACAUAGUUAAAAACAGUUAUACAAAAAUCAAUUAGAAAUCAAUGUAAGAGUGUAAGUGCAAGUCAACUUCACUGCAUGCACACUUAAACUCGUACAUGCGCACGCACUCACACAUGGACACGUGCACACGUACACACAUACACACACAGUUUAAAAGAAUGCUAUAGAAAUCUGUUUUUAAAGAUGGCUACUGAUGUGUCUAACUGUGUCAGGCAUGGUGUUCCAUUUUUGUGGGGCAUAAACACUCAAAGCUGCCUCCCCUCAUUUGGAUCUGGUGUGAGGGAUGAGUAAGUUGCCACUGCCUGUUGACCGAAGUGUUCUUGCUGAGGUGUAGGUGAUGAGCAUAUCUGUGAUGUACUGAGGUGCAAGGCCAUGUAGUGCUUUGUAAACCAGGAGGAGUAUUUUGAAAUCGAUUCUUGUCCUAACGGGUAACCAAUGUACAGAUUUGAGAACGGGUGUGAUGUGUUGAUAUUUUUUGGUACCAGUGAGAAUACAUGCAGCUGCAUUUUGAAUUAACUGUAACCUCUGAAGACUUGAUUUUGGGAGUCCAGUGAAUAAACCGUUAUCCAGUAGUAAUCCAGUCUACUUCUUAUAAAUGCAUGGAUGAAUUUUUCUAAGUCUGAUUUUGACAGAAAGCCCCUCAAUUUGGAGAUAUUUUUGAGAUGAUAGAAAGAUGAUCUUGAAUUGAAUCUUGUAAUGGAUAAAAGGCUGGUAAAGAAAAACUCACUGAGCACAGAUUUACUUAUUAUUGUUGAUGUUUAUAAAAAUGAAAGUCGUUUAAAACAGCAUUUGAAAAGGAUUCUGACUUCUUGUAUUUUCUGAUUUGGUUCCUGUGUUUGGGACGUUUUGAGCCUGUUAGUCUUUGGACUGUGGUCUGUAGACCCCAGAAAACAGUCUGUGGGUCACAAAAUACCAGAAGACCAAUGAAGAAAUAAAUCCUGAGAAAUAAAAACUCAUUCAGAGCAUCUGUCUGUUAUUAGACCUUUAGAUCUGAUCGGUGGAAAAAAAAGUUUUAAACUGUCAGAGAAAAUCUCUCUACCUUCAAAAUCACUUUAGUUUUUUCUCUUGUCACGACACUUCAGGCAGCAGCAGCUGAAUAUUUUACAGGAGAUUGUUUUAUGUUAGAGAAAAGAGAAACUCUGGUUUAAUAAAUGUUUCUUAUUCUGUAUCUUUCAAACAUGAAAUAAUAAAGAAAAUAAAUGUUCUUUAUUUCCACAGAGAGACACAGAGAUGUGACUCUGUGGAGGAGCAGCUGUCCAGAUGUUCUUUAUGUCAGGACGUCCUGAAGGAUCCAGUCUCUACCCGCUGUGGACACCAGUCUACUUCUUCAGGAUACACCUCCUGUCCCCAGUGUGGAAAAAGAACCAGAACAGUUCUUGUCUUUCAGACAGACAGCCAGUCCAGCUCUGAUCGAAGUAAGUCUGAACACCUUUAAACCCUAAAUUAUACAAUUUCUGCCAGAAUUAUUUUGCUUAUUUUAGCCAUAAAAUUGGCAGAAAAUGUCCUAUGAGUGAGUGCUUUUUUAUUCAUUGGCUUUCAACCCUGCAUGAGACUCGGCUCCUGUUUUAGUGUUUUAUGUUUUUUUUUUUUUUUUUUUUUUAUGUCUAUGCUUUUUUGUCUAUUUAUAUACAGCACUUUGGUUGGCUGUGGUUGUUUUAAAGUGCUUUACAAAUAAAGUUGAGUUUUACCCAUUUUUCCAGAACACUUCAAACUUUCAAUAUCUGGCUGUCAUUUACGAUUUACUGCCUGUUAAAAGAGUGCUAUAACAUUUUAAGAUAAAGAAAAACACAAAAACGGAAUACGAUUUUUUGAGUUUUAAUGAGAAAAAACAGAAAAUAUUCAUGAAAAACAGAUUUUUCAUUUGAAAUAAAAAAAAAUUAAAGAGUAUCAAACAUAUUUACAACAAAAACUUUGGAGUGCUGUCUCUCCAAGUGCAAAAACAGGCUAAAUAAAUACAACUAUGUCCACGCGUUUCUCCUCGUUUCUCCUCUCUCACUCAGAGGUCUUUGUGAAACUGUCAGAAGCUGUUCCUUUCUGUCUGCGGACACAGACCCACAUCACACCACUCACACUUCCAGGCAGUUCUCCUUAUGACAAAGUUUGCAGCGUCGUCUCCUCAUGCUAGUUCUUUGAGACUUCAUCUGUCCAUGGCUUGUUUGGGCACGUAGCUAUACUCUACUAUAAGCGAAGUGGAUGUAAUUCUCGGCGGGCAUGUGUUUCUCGGUACAACAUCAACGGUUGCAAAAUGAGAAAACGACGAGAAAACCGCCGAAGAUGAAGACUUGGUGGUAAGAAGAAAAGCAACGUCACUAACCUUUGAAGAUGAAGACUCGUUGAUUAAAAGAACGUCACUAACCAUAGAAGAUGAAGACUCGUUGAUUAAAAGAAAAGCAACGUCACUAACCAUUGUAGAUGAAUAUUCGUUGAUUAAAAGAAAAGCCACGUCACUUAUCUGUAAUUAUUUCGGUUACAAAAAGGAUGACGUCACCUAACACCUGUUCUGUGACGGCAGUGUCUUUCAUCUGUUUCCACAAUAACGUCCCAGCAGAACAAUAAAAACUAAAAAUAUCUCUAAGACAGACAGAAGCCAUUCUACUAACAUUCACUAAAAGAGGGAAGAUCAGUGCAGGUUAACUGUCCUCAAGAUUUCAGCAGAAAGUCAGAUUCAGAUCAUCUGCUAAAAAUUCCUCUAUUUUUUAAUAACGCUUAUAUAUCACAGGGUUGAACAACUUUGCAAUGUUAGUGUUUUCUAAUAUCAUGCUGUCUUAAUAGGCACACGUUACUACAAACUCACUGCCUUAGCAUGGUAUUCUAAUAAAGUCACAACAGGUUAUAAGUGUUGAUUUACUCAUAAAAUAACGUAAAUAAAUUAAAAACGACACAGAGAGCGCUUCAUUCAUCCAGAAACCAACACAGAAAACCAACCAGUCAAACUUUACCUUUCUCUGUCUGAAGUUGCUCUGAAAGCUUCUCCAUCUGUCCCAAAGUCGUCUGUAAACCUCAGUGGAGGUUUUCUCACUUGGGAGAGUUUAUCACAGACAUUUUCCUUUGAAAUAAUCCCUUUUUUGUCACUUUUCUCUCUUUUUGCUCCGUUUCUCUGCUCUGUUGUGUGUCUAUCCGCUGCUCCCUUUGAGAGGGGGAGAGGGGACGAGGAGACAGAUUUUCUCACUUCCCCAAACAGCAGGAGUGAAAUUACCGUAAUAACCGUUUAUUGACCGUGUGGCGCAACUUCUCAGCUUUCAGAAACCGUUGGAGAUUUUUUUUUGAUAGAACAAACUACCGCAAAGUUACGGUAAUUUAAAGAGCGCCUGUAUAAAGGUGUCGGCGCCGACGGACUGUGAGGAAAAGUCUGUGUGGAUGAAAACUCAGCUGACUGAUUUUCACAAAGACGUUUCAGUGUUGAGAAGUUUGGUUCAUUUUAUUUUUCUUCUCUUUCAGAUGAUGGCCUCCCGCAGGAGGUUUUAGAUGAACAUAAGAUCAGUCUGAAGAGGAGAUGUGAACGUGUGAAUGAAGGAAGUGAUGAAACAGGAAGUAGUCAAACCCUCCUCAACAGGAUCUUCACUGAGCUCUACAUCACAGAGGGACUGAGUGAAGAGGUGAACACCCAACAUGAGGUGAGACAGCUGGAGACUACUUCAAAGAUGAAGACCCUCCAUGACAUGCCCAUCAGGUGUCAUGAGAUCUUUAAAACCUUACCUGACCAACAGAAGAAGCUCAUCAGAGUGGUUCUGACCAACGGCGUGGCUGGUGUUGGAAAAACCUUCUCAGUGCAGAAGUUCACUCUGGACUGGGCAGAGGGUUUGGAGAACCAAGACCUCCAUCUGGUGGUCCUGCUUUCAUUCAGGGAGCUGAACCUGAUCAGAGAUGAGCGCUUCAGUCUUCUGAGUCUGCUCCAUGUUUUCCAUCCAACCCUAGAGAAGGUCACAGCAGAGACGCUGGCUGUCUGUAAACUUCUGUUCAUCUUUGACGGUCUGGAUGAAAGCAGACUGUCUCUGGAUUUCACAGACUCUGAGGUGGUGUCUGACGUCACACAGAAGUCUUCACUCAACGUUCUGAUAACAAACCUCGUCAAGGGGAACCUGCUCCCCUCAGCUCUCAUCUGGAUAACUUCUCGACCUGCAGCAGCCAAUCAGAUCCCUCCUUCACAUGUGGACAGGAUAACAGAAGUACGAGGCUUCACUGACGCCCAGAAGGAGGAGUACUUCAGGAAGAGGUUCAGAGAUGAAGAUCUGUCCAGAAGAAUCAUCCAACACAUCAAGUCCUCCAGGAGCCUCCACAUCAUGUGUCAGAUCCCGGUCUUCUGCUGGAUCACUGCGACAGUUCUGGAGGACAUGAUGAGAAGAAAGCAGAGAGGAGAGCUGCCCAAGACCCUGACUGACAUGUACUCACACUUCCUGCUGGUCCAGACUCAGAGGAAGAAGCAGAAGUAUGAAGGAGGACAUGAGACAAGUCCUCAGGAGCUGAUGGAUGCUGACAGUGACGUCCUCCUGAAGCUGGGGAGGCUGGCAUUGGAACAUCUGAACAGUGGAAACAUCAUGUUCUACCAAGAAGACCUGGAGCGGUGUGGUCUGGAUGUCUCAGAGGCCUCAGUGUACUCAGGAGUUUGUACAGAGAUCUUCAGAAGAGAGAGUGUGAUCUUCCAGAAAACUGUUUACUGUUUCGUUCAUCUGAGCGUUCAGGAGUUUCUGUCUGCAGUCUACAUGAUCCACAGUUUCACAACCAGGAACACAGAAGCUCUGAAGACUUUCCUAAGAAGCAACGAUGAUGAAGAUAAAAUGUCUUCUUCAGAGAUGGUUGACAGAUUUUUUCAAAACCUGGAUUAUUUUUUCUCAUCUCAGGAUGUCUUCCUGAAGAGUGUCAUGAUGAAAUCCCUUGUCAGUAAAAACGGUCACCUGGACCUGUUUGUUCGCUUCCUUCAUGGACUCUCUGUGGCGUCAAACCAGAGACUCUUAGGAGGUCUGCUGGGUCACACAGACAACAGUCCAGAAAUGAUCCAAACAGUCAUCAAGAACCUGAAGGAGAUGAACAGAGAAGAUAUCUCUCCUGACAGAAGCAUCAACAUCUUCCACUGUCUGAUGGAGAUGAACGAUCUGUCAGUUCAUCAGGAGAUUCAAGAGCUCCUGAAGUCAGGGAACAAAUCAGAGAAGAAACUCUCAGUGUUCCAGUGCUCUGCUCUGGCCUACAUGCUGCAGAUGUCAGAGGAGGUUCUGGAGGAGUUGGACUUAAAGAAUUAUAAAACAUCAGACCAGGGACGACGGAGACUGAUCCCAGCUGUGAGGAACUGCAGAAAGGCUGUGUGAGUCCAGGUUUUAUUCUCAGAAUAGUGUAAAUGAUCCCUGUAGUUCUUCUAAUGUCCACGUUACUGAUGAUGUUCUUCUUCAAAUAGAAAUCCACUCAAAUAUCAGGGAGGGGGUUUCUUCAGCAAAAACAUGAUCCUGGUGUCUAAAGUCCUGUUAGUCCAGGAUGAGGUCUACCCGUGGACCCCUGAGAACUUGUCCUAAUUGUGGAGGACCUCUUUGUUUUGAAUCGUGUCUGUAAUGAAUAAAGUGGAACUUUGAGGACAAAUCAGCGACCAUAUCUGAGGACACACAGAGGUCUUCUGAUGAUGGUAUCAGUCCAGAUCAACAUCUCAGUCAGUUGUGGUGAACUUGAGUUUGAAGAAGGUGUCUGCAGCUUCUUCCUGCUGGUUUUCAGGUUGGAAAUGAUGAAUCAGUUGUAAAUGAGGGUGUUGACAGCAUUGAUGGUGAAAAUAGAACUGGAUCAUUUUCUACACAGUGGCAGAACUGUCUUCAAAGAAAUGUUUUUAUCUGAACCAAACAGAGAAACAGGAGCUGCUGUGAUUUAGUGAGUCGUCUUCUGAUUGGUCAACAGUCAGUGCCUUACAUUAUAGCAGGAUGUCAACACUAAACACUGAGAGGAGCAUAAGUCAUGGAGUCAUUUGUCUUGAACAUCUAAACAGUUUUUUUUUUCUUCUAAACUUGGACUUCCUGUCUUCUCUCAUGGCUGUGGUCCUGAUAUUAGUAUCUGUCUGGUUAGAAACAGGCCGUCUGUCAAACCAAAGAUCAUGUUUGAGUUGUUUUUGGGGAAGAGAAACAUCAAAUAACCCUUUAAUAAAAUAUUGUUUGAUAUUUAUGUUGUUACAGAUUUUCUCUCUGUGGACUCUCAAAGACUCACUGUGAAGUUGUGGCCUCAGCUCUGAAGUCCAACCCCUCCCAUCUGAGACAUCUGGACCUGAGUAACAACGAGCUGAAGGAUUCAGGAGUGAAGCUUCUCUCUGCAGGACUGGAGAGUCCAAACUGCAGACUGGAGACUCUGAUGUGAGACACCAUUUCCUUCUGAUCUAACAAUAAGAUGUGACAGCUGCUGCCUUAGAUUUUUCUCUGUGGUUUUUCCAUCAACUUUGGUCGAGCAGUUUGAAUUUGUCGUUGUAAAACUUCGACACAGGAAGAAAAAUCUGACAUUUCAGAGUUGACUUUGAGGAGAACGAUGGAUGUAGAAAGGAAGCAGGAGAAAAUCAGUCCCACAAAUAUUACACAUGCUUGUAGAGGGCAGGAGCAGCACAGACUAAAGGCUGAUACUGAACUGAUCCACAGUUAAUGUGAUCACCAAUGAAUGAAUGAAGUGUCAGAGAAAUGAUGAGCUGCAGAUUGAAACCUGAAGAACAAAGUUAAUCCAACUCUGGAUAUUUCAUUUGGAAACUCUUGAAAACUUGAAUUUCUUCUUUGCUCAGUCGUGUUCAAAUGUAAAAACCAGAUCCAGAUUUGUCUGCAGUUUUCACUUCAGUUUGUUGAACAUGAACAUCAUCUUGUCCAGCUGGUCCAUAAAAACCUCUCUGAUCAAUGAUCUGUUGGUUUAUUUAAGAGUAGUUUGGCAGUUGUUGACAGCAGACGGACAGACCCCUGAAUAAACUCCUGACUGUUUUCAUCUUCAUGAAGAAUUCAGGACUACAAAAGAACCUUUGAGAUUUCUCACAGGAGUUUCUCAGGAUCUCACUAAAGUUUUCUGUUUCUGUAAAAUUUUCUUGACUGAUAAAUUCCUCUGGAUCUUCAAAAAGUUUAGAGAAGAUUUUACAAAGUUCCUGAAGAUCAACUCUGAAAAAGUUCUUCUUCCGUGUCCUUCAGGGUUCAAGAACAUUGAAUCAUUAAAAACAGGAACAGUUUCUUCAGAGGUUACAUGAUUUUUUUCUUUUUUCAGACUGUGACAGGUGUUUAUUAGUCUUUUUGACACGUUACAAUAAUGAGGAUAAAGUCAUGGACUAAACUUGGGCUCCCAGUUUCCUUGUUGUUGUUUCUUCAGCUAGCAUCAUUGUUUUCAUCACAGUUCUUAAAGUAAUAAUGAUGCUUCAUAAAUUCAGAGUCACAAAAAAACACCAAACAAACCAAAUCUGAAAAAAAUCCACUUUUUCAUCAAAUGAGUUUAAUCGGUCAGAACAUGAGGUUUGAGUUUUCAUGAGGAGGAAACGAGAAAGAUCUGCUCUGACAGUGAGAAACACAGACGCCUGAAUCUACACUGACAGACACACAAAUACAGACAGAGAGACACAGACAGAGAGACACAGACACAGACACACAAAUACAGACACACAGAGACACAGACACACAAACAGACUAACAGAGAUUUUCUUCUUCGUCUCUUUGCUGUGAUGACUGAAGUCACAAAAACAAAGUUUUCUUCGUCACUUUUAUGAUUGAACCAAAUAAGUUAAAGAACCAAACUCUCAGAUUUUCUUCUUCUCAAUAUUAUUUGAACCAUUUAGAUUUUUCUCCUGAUCAAUAUUCAAUGAUCAGAUUGAUCAGGUUCCUGUUUUGGCUCCACUGCCUCUUUUCUGCAGCUCAAUAACUGCUCAUAUGGUUUGAAAGGUUCCUGCAGUAAAACCCGAUUAGAGAGUGGACUAAAUGAAAUGUGAGUGAACUCAGCCAUCAGUGAAUCAAUGACAAAGUGAGAGGAAGAGUGGAUCUGUCUGCUGUCUGACCUUGUUGAUCCUGAUGAAGGUGAGGGAGAAGAGUAAAGCAGUAAAGGUGAUGUUGUUGCAGACAGAGUCAGCUGACCUGUCUCAUCAGAGUCUCAUCCAUUCUCUGUUUGGCAGAGCGCUGAUGUUACAGUCUGAGAGCACAUUCAGGUUCAGCUUCACAUGGGCUGGAUCUGCUCAAUACAAACUCUUGAGACCAGCCUGGUUGAGGGAGGUGGGCUCAGUGUCCUGGGUGACUCUCUCUGAGCUCUUCUUGGUUGAGAGUAUUUCUGGUUUGUCUCUGACUUCCAUGAACUCAGAUCUGGAGGAUUGCUGGCUGGUCCGGUCCAGUUCUGACAGUAGAGACAACACAGUCUGUUAUUCUGGGUUGAGUGUUCUUGUUGAAGAUCAGUGUACAGUGAGGGAUGAAGGCAGACAAAGAUCCUCCUGUUUCCUCCAUGUCACAGUUCAAGUUCAUUUUGAAGACUUUGAUUGAUACGAGCGCUGAAGAGGAACAGGAAACGUGGAGUAGAGAGUGAGGGAGGACUUACAGCAAAGGAUCAUGGGAGUCCAACCAGCAACUGCUGCAACAAGGACUCCACCUUCUGAUCAUCUGAACCUCUAAUCCAAACCAGUGCUCCAUCACAUUUGAUGUCUUGUCUGUUAUUUUACAUGGAGGGUCAGAGCAGACCAGAUCAUGAGCUCUGACAGACUGGAUCUGGUCCAAAGGUCUCCUGUUGGAGUUCUCUAAGCUCCAUAUUUUAAUCCUGAACACCUGAAGUUUGAUUAUUAAUUAUUUUUAUCUUCAUUCUCUUUCCUUUUUUCAGAUUGUAUAAAUGCAGUUUGUCAGAGAUCAGCUGUUCUUCUCUGGCCUCAGCUCUGAAGUCCAACCCCUCCCAUCUGAGAUAUCUGGACCUGAGUUACAACAAUCUGCAGGAUUCAGGAAUGAAGCUGCUGUGUGACUCUCUGCAGAGUCCAAACUGUAAACUGGAGACUCUGAGGUGAGACACCAUUUCCUUCUGAUCUAACAAUAAGAUGUGACAGCUGCUGCCUUAGAUUUUUCUCUGUGGUUUUUCCAUCAACUUUGGUCGAGCAGUUUGAAUUUGUCGUUGUAAAACUUCAACACAGGAAGAAAAAUCCGACAUUUCAGAGUCGACUUUGAGGAGAACGAUGGAUGUAGAAAGGAAGCAGGAGAAAAUCAGUCCACAAAUAUUACACAUGCUUGUAGAGGGCAGGAGCAGCACAGACUAAAGGCUGAUACUGAACUGAUCCACAGUUAAUGUGAUCACUAAUGAAUGAAUGAAGUGUCAGAGAAAUGAUGAGCUGCAGAUUGAAACCUGAAGAACAAAGUUAAUCCAACUCUGGAUAUUUCAUUUGGAAACUCUUGAAAACUUGAAUUUCUUCUUUGCUCAGUCGUGUUCAAAUGUAAAAACCAGAUCCAGAUUUUUCUGCAGUUUUCACUUCAGUUUGUUGAACAUGAACAUCAUCUUGUCCAGUUGGUCCAUAAAAACCUCUCUGAUCAAUGAUCUGUUGGUUUAUUUAAGAGUAGUUUGGCAGUUGUUGACAGCAGACGGACAGACCCCCUGAAUAAACUCCUGACUAUUUUCAUCUUCAUGAAGAAUUCAGGACUACAAAAAAACCUUUGAGAUUUCUCACAGGAGUUUCUCAGGAUCUCACUAAAGUUUUCUGUUUCUGUAAAAUUUUCUUGACUGAUAAAUUCCUCUGGAUCUUCAAAAAGUUUAGAGAGGAUUUUACAAAGUUCCUGAAGAUCAACUCUGAAAAAGUUCUUCUUCCGUGUUCCUUCAGGGUUCAAGAACAUUGAAUCAUUAAAAACAGGAACAGUUUCUUCAGAGGUUACAUGAUUUUUUUCUUUUUUCAGACUGUGACAGGUGUUUAUUAGUCUUUUUGACACGUUACAAUAAUGAGGAUAAAGUCAUGGACUAAACUUGGGCUCCCAGUUUCCUUGUUGUUGUUUCUUCAGCUAGCAUCAUUGUUUUCAUCUCAGUUAUUAAAGUAAUAAUGAUGCUUCAUAAAUUCAGAGUCACAAAAAAACACCAAACAAACCAAAUCUGAAAAAAAUCCACUUUUUCAUCAAAUGAGUUUAAUCGGUCAGAACAUGAGGUUUGAGUUUUCAUGAGGAGGAAACGAGAAAGAUCUGCUCUGACAGUGAGAAACACAGACGCCUGAAUCUACACUGACAGACACACAAAUACAGACAGAGAGACACAGACAGAGAGACACAGACACAGACACAGACACACAAAUACAGACACACAGAGAGACAGACACACAAACACAGACUAACAGAGAUGUUCCUCUCUGUCUCUUUGCUGUGAUGACUGAAGUCACAAAAACAAAGUUUUCUUCGUCACGUUUAUGAUUGAACCAAAUAAGUUAAAGAACCAAACUCUCAGAUUUUCUUCUUCUCAAUAUUAUUUGAACCAUUUUGAUUUUUCUCCUGAUCAAUAUUCAAUGAUCAGAUUGAUUAGGUUCCUGUUUUGGCUCCACUGCCUCUUUUCUGCAGCUCAAUAACUGCUCAUAUGGUUUGAAAGGUUCCUGCAGUAAAACCCGAUUAGAGAGUGGACUAAAUGAAAUGUGAGUGAACUCAGCCAUCAGUGAAUCAAUGACAAAGUGAGAGGAAGAGUGGAUCUGUCUGCUGUCUGACCUUGUUGAGCCUGAUGAAGGUGAGGGAGAAGAGUAAAGCAGUAAAGGUGAUGUUGUUGCAGACAGAGUCAGCUGACCUGUCUCAUCAGAGUCUCAUCCAUUCUCUGUUUGGCAGAGCACUGAUGUUACAGUCUGAGAGCACAUUCAGGUUCAGCUUCACAUGGGCUGGAUCUGCUCAAUACAAACUCUUGAGACCAGCCUGGUUGAGGGAGGUGGGCUCAGUGUCCUGGGUGACUCUCUCUGAGCUCUUCUUGGUUGAGAGUAUUUCUGGUUUGUCUCUGACUUCCAUGAACUCAGAUCUGGAGGAUUGCUGGCUGGUCCGGUCCAGUUCUGACAGUAGAGACAACACAGUCAGUUAUUCUGGGUUGAGUGUUCUUGUUGAAGAUCAGUGUACAGUGAGGGAUGAAGGCAGACAAAGAUCCUCCUGUUUCCUCCAUGUCACAGUUCAAGUUCAUUUUGAAGACUUUGAUUGAUCCGAGCGCUGAAGAGGAACAGGAAACGUGGAGUAGAGAGUGAGGGAGGACUUACAGCAAAGGAUCAUGGGAGUCCAACCAGCAACUGCUGCAACAACGACUCCACCUUCUGAUCAUCUGAACCUCUAAUCCAAACCAGUGCUCCAUCACAUUUGAUGUCUUGUCUGUUAUUUUACAUGGAGGGUCAGAGCAGACCAGAUCAUGAGCUCUGACAGACUGGAUCUGGUCCAAAGGUCUCCUGUUGGAGUUCUCUAAGCUCCAUAUUUUAAACCUGAACACCUGAAGUUUGAUUAUUAAUUAUUUUUAUCUUCAUUCUCUUUCCUUUUUUCAGAUUGUAUAAAUGCAGUUUGUCAGAGAUCAGCUGUUCUUCUCUGGCCUCAGCUCUGAAGUCCAACCCCUCCCAUCUGAAACAUCUGGACCUGAGUUACAACAAGCUGCAGGAUUCAGGAGUGAAGCUUCUGUGUGAAUUUGUGCAGAGUCCAAACUGUAAACUGGAGACUCUGAAGUGAGACUUUUUCCCUCCAUUCAAACAUGAUCAUGAUUUGUUUGUGAUGAUGACACUAAACUGCUGACUCAGGACUGAAAUACUGACCCAGACUGAACACCUUCAGUCCAGAGUAGAUUUUCUUCAUCAGUGGAUUAUUUGAUUGACUCCAGUUAGAUCACUGCUGAGCUCCAGUGAAUUAAAACCUGAACCCAAGAAGAAAACUCUUUGUAGAGUUCACAGUGAGAAGCUCAUUCAGACAGAAAACAGAAGCAGGGGGAGAUUUGUCAGAUGAGAACCAUUCAAACUUUUGUUCAGGACAAGAUCAGGGAAUAGAAAAAACUCAGAGUUUAGUUUCUGACACUGAUGAAAGUCCAGCUCUGUUACUUUGAAUUUUGUUUUUGAAUCUUUGUGUGAAAAUCUGAAUUUUCUGGUUUAUCUGCACUUUUCUGAAGCCUUACUGUGUUUAGACUGAAAUAUUUACCUCUCAAAGACGUGAAAUUUUUGGUUCAGCAAAGUGAAAAUAUUCUGAACAUCCUUUGUUUCCCAUCCGUCCUGAAGUCACUGACAUUUUCUGAAAAUAUUGAGCUGCAUCUACAAUCAGUAAAAAAGUCUCUGAGUUUUUUAUUUCACUAUUUAAUGUGUUUUUGAAUUCACUGUUUCAAACUGACUUCCUGUUUGGUUCAGCUCUUUGGAGCGUCACUUUUCUCUGAUUUAUACUUUCCAAACCUUUCCCCUGAACUCUACAGAUUUAAGACAUCAGGUUUCAAACUGGAUCAUUUUUCUCUAAAAUCUCAUUAUUUCCUCUUUAUUUAGGUUAAUGAGCUGCAGUUUGACGAAGAUCAGCUGUUCUUCUCUGGCCUCAGCUCUGAAGUCCAACCCCUCCCAUCUGAAAACUCUGUGGCUGUAUGGAAACAAUCUGCAGGGUUCAGACAUGAAGCUGCUGUGUGAUCUUCAGAAGAGUCCUGACUACAGACUGAGGACUCUGAAGUCAGUAUAGAGUUGGAGUUAGUCUGUGCUGAUCUCUCCUGUUCCUCUCCACACAGUAUCACAGCAGAUAUUCAGUAUUUCCUGCUGACUCUUCGACCCUCUCAGAGGAUUAUCUCUUUAGUGAAGCUGUGAGAACAGAAAUCAUCAAACCAGGAGUGUAAGAGUGUCAGUGAUGAAAAAAGUGUCUCCUCGUCUCUAUAUUUCAGAUCAAAUGUAGAAAUGAGACAUAAUGAAACAGAAAUGUUCAGUUUCUGCUCUGAAGUCCAGUUUAUAGUUCUCUGUAUUCAACACAGACUUUAUUUCUCUGCUAACUUGUUGAUUUUGAGCUCUAAGUCUGAAAACAGACAGCUGUUCUUUAUACUUGUUAUUUUCACAGCAGGUUUGUUCGAUCAGCUUUAACACAUUUGACAGGAAUGAUUUCUUUAUUUUGAUGAUGUUGGUUUAUUUGUGAGGAAACCUGCUGCUUUACACCAUCACUUCUGGUCUGAGCAGGACUGAGACCUGCUGGUCUGUAAACUGGAUGUUCUUCAGUCCAGCUGAUGAAGUGAGUCUCAGAGUGGAAACACUGAUCGUCUUUUUUUCUCUCCUCAGAUGGAGUUAACAUCUGUCAGAGUGAUUAAGAAGAGGAUCAUGUGUUUCCUGACGAUCAGAGAGGUGGAGGCAGCAGCAGUGAGGGUGAGGUGAGUCUCUGACUGAGAGACUGACUGACCAAUCACAGCGGGCGGAGAGGACUCUGGGAGCUGCACUUUGACCUGCUCUGAGAUCAGCUCAGGACCUGGACUCUGGAUAUUUGAUAUUUUCCCUCAUAUUCUGGGAUCAAACAGUCUGAACAGGUUUGUUUUGUUGAUGGAAACAUGAUCAUAAAUUUACACUUUGAUUGGAUUACUUUGUUUUCACCAUGAUGCAGCGCCACCCAGUGGAAAUAUAAAGAGGUGGAGUUGAUUUAUUCCCUCAUAUUUCUGCAGCAGGAGUUGAUACCAUGUGUGAGAGUAGAUCAGUCAGAAGUUCAGAUUAAACCCAAAGGUUUUUUCUUUCCUUUGCACCGUUACAGACCGAAUAUAAACUGAAGGGAGAGGAAGAGAAGUGAGGAGAGAUGGAGGUGAAGGGAGGAGGAGGACAGGGUUUGGGGUUUUAACAAAAAUCUGAAGCUUUAUUCUUUCACUUGAUUAUUUUUAUUCAUCCGUUUUCUUCUUCAUUUUCUGAAAUGAUUGUAAAUAUUGACUGGAGGUAAAUUUGUCUUAUUUAAUAUUAUUAGACACUAUUUUCCGUCUCUUUACAUGUUUUUGUUCUCAUAUCAUCUUUGUGCUCAUCAAUAAUCGAUUCCCUCCAGUUUGAACAAAUACAAUUAUUAAACCAUAAAUGAGACCUGAGAGUAAAAUUAAAAUGUGUGAAAUAUAAUCAGUCAAAAGAAAGAUUCUUGAACAAAAACAAAAUCAUUAUUUUUACUUUAUUAUGAUGGAGAAGUUUUCCUCUGACAGACAAAAAUAACCGUAUUGACUGGAGUCUGGAAAAAGUGAGAUCAGCAUCUAUUCAGGGUGAAGUCAUUAACGUGGUCGAUGCUGUUUUAUAAACUCAGUGUUGUUGAUUACAAUCUCAGCUUCAUAAACUGAUGCUACAGCUCAUGUCACAGUCUGCUCACACCACAGAAACAUUAAACAUAGAACUAUUGUGAACAGAUUUGUCCUCUUCAGCUAAUCUACUAUCAAUAGAUCUGUGCUCUGUCUGUGUAACACUAUGUUGGUUCUUCAUUUACUCCAGAUCAUUUUUUUAUGUCAUUUCACUGUAACAAUGUCAUUUAAAGAUAAUAAAAACUUUAUUUGAACUAAAACAUGUUAAAAACAUCAACUCAGCUUGUUUCAUUUACUGUGUGCAAUUGAUUAUUAUUAUUUUUCAUUCAAACAGAAACUAGAUUUGGUCUUUAAAAAGUCCUCAAAGUGAG